Molecule: long non-coding RNA, 210 nt
Filed under: Amborella trichopoda
Lineage: Eukaryota; Viridiplantae; Streptophyta; Magnoliopsida; Amborellales; Amborellaceae
Description: long non-coding RNA (ATRI_LNC003178)
Source: RNAcentral
UCCAAGAGAGUGUCGGUAUUCUCAUGAGUUUUGGGGUUGGUAAGGAUUCCACUUCUAGAGAGAAAGAAUCUCUCGGUUGCUCUCGAGGUUAUCUUUUUUGUAGCGGUAUUGCGAUGGGAAAGAAGGUAUUGAUCGACAAUGUUGUUCGGUUGGGAGAGCGAGUUUAGAAGGGAAGAGCGGUGAUGGUUUUUUUUUUACCAAUGUUUAAAG